This 157-nucleotide small RNA is filed under the name uncultured Escherichia sp. RNAcentral describes it as "Enterobacterial sRNA STnc410". It matches the Rfam family "Enterobacterial sRNA STnc410". Lineage: Bacteria; Pseudomonadati; Pseudomonadota; Gammaproteobacteria; Enterobacterales; Enterobacteriaceae. The record is from RNAcentral.
AGGAUAAAUUGUGCAAUAAAGGAUUAUCCCUACUGACGAAAACACCAUUUUCGACCAUUGGCGCGCCUUUUGUCUGCAUAAAAGUAAGGUAGCACCUUCAUUUAAGUGUCUACAUGAUGUUUUUGCUCUUAUUUCGAUCAAUGAAUAAACGAGAAAA